GACGAACGCUGGCGGCGUGCUUAACACAUGCAAGUCGAACGGAAAGGCUCCAGCUUGCUGGAGUACUCGAGUGGCGAACGGGUGAGUAACACGUGGGUAAUCUGCCCUGCACUCUGGGAUAAGCCUGGGAAACUGGGUCUAAUACUGGAUAUGACCUUUCUCCUUAUGGGGUUUGGUGGAAAGUUUUUCGGUGUAGGAUGAGCCCGCGGCCUAUCAGCUUGUUGGUGGGGUGAUGGCCUACCAAGGCGACGACGGGUAGCCGGCCUGAGAGGGUGAUCGGCCACAUUGGGACUGAGAUACGGCCCAGACUCCUACGGGAGGCAGCAGUGGGGAAUAUUGCACAAUGGGCGGAAGCCUGAUGCAGCGACGCCGCGUGAGGGAUGACGGCCUUCGGGUUGUAAACCUCUUUCAGCAGGGACGAAGCGUAAGUGACGGUACCUGCAGAAGGAGCACCGGCUAACUAUGUG
RNAcentral lists this ribosomal RNA (467 nucleotides) under uncultured bacterium. RNAcentral describes it as "partial 16S ribosomal RNA". It matches the Rfam family "Bacterial small subunit ribosomal RNA", at positions 28 to 507 of the family's 1533-position model. The record is from RNAcentral.